GCGAGAGUGGCGGAACUGGCAUACGCGCUGGACUUAGAAUCCAGUAGCCGCAAGGCUUUAGGGGUUCGAAUCCCCUCUCUCGCACCA
This 87-nucleotide transfer RNA is filed under the name Synergistaceae bacterium. RNAcentral's name for it is "tRNA-Leu". It matches the Rfam family "tRNA". Rfam says of the family: Transfer RNA (tRNA) molecules are approximately 80 nucleotides in length. Their secondary structure includes four short double-helical elements and three loops (D, anti-codon, and T loops). RNAcentral also lists the same sequence under 1 other name. The record is from RNAcentral. Lineage: Bacteria; Thermotogati; Synergistota; Synergistia; Synergistales; Synergistaceae.